RNAcentral lists this ribosomal RNA (588 nucleotides) under uncultured bacterium. RNAcentral's name for it is "bacterial SSU rRNA". It matches the Rfam family "Bacterial small subunit ribosomal RNA", at positions 335 to 916 of the family's 1533-position model. The record is from RNAcentral.
ACUCCUACGGGAGGCAGCAGUGGGGAAUUUUGGACAAUGGGCGAAAGCCUGAUCCAGCCAUUCCGCGUGCAGGAUGAAGGCCCUCGGGUUGUAAACUGCUUUUGUACGGAACGAAACGCGUUGAGCUAAUACCUCGACGUAAUGACGGUACCGUAAGAAUAAGCACCGGCUAACUACGUGCCAGCAGCCGCGGUAAUACGUAGGGUGCGAGCGUUAAUCGGAAUUACUGGGCGUAAAGCGUGCGCAGGCGGUGAUGUAAGACAGGUGUGAAAUCCCCGGGCUUAACCUGGGAACUGCAUUUGUGACUGCAUCGCUGGAGUGCGGCAGAGGGGGAUGGAAUUCCGCGUGUAGCAGUGAAAUGCGUAGAUAUGCGGAGGAACACCGAUGGCGAAGGCAAUCCCCUGGGCCUGCACUGACGCUCAUGCACGAAAGCGUGGGGAGCAAACAGGAUUAGAUACCCUGGUAGUCCACGCCCUAAACGAUGUCAACUGGUUGUUGGGUCUUCACUGACUCAGUAACGAAGCUAACGCGUGAAGUUGACCGCCUGGGGAGUACGGUCGCAAGAUUAAAACUCAAAGGAAUUGACGG